UCUCCCACCUACUCUCCACACCUCUCUGCCAUAUCUCAAUUAUAUCAAAUCAUGGAGACUUUACUCAUACCAAAGAGACUUUACUCAUUCUACACAAAAGACAUGUUGCAUUCUUCUCAUCUGCAUUCAAGAAGGCAAGAACGCACAAAAGAAGCCACCAAGCACCAAGCACCAACCAUCAUUAACCCUCAAGGCUUUGUGACCAGGGGGAUUAGCGCUGCUUUCCCAAGACAGGUUUAUAAGUGAUUAUGAUCUUCAGGCUUUGCCUAACCAGGUUGAGCAGUUGAUGGAAUGGAAUGAUGUUGAGCGGGUGUUCCUUUGACAUUUCAAGAAAUGUAACCUUGAGUAUACAUCUUCAUAUGUAUAUCUCACACGUUUUCCGCUGCAAAGCUCUUUGAUUAGGAUAGCUCAAUGUUAUGAAGUUGUUAUACGUGUUAUUGGGUAACCCACCUUAAUCAGUUCACAUUUAUGUGUAUGUUUUAUAAGUAUCCAAAUAAUCAUAUAUGAUCCUAGCAUUUUAUCUAUGAGUGACAUUUCCAUAUACUUUAAUGUUAAGUAAUUGUCC
Long non-coding RNA from Salvia miltiorrhiza (redroot sage), 565 nucleotides. RefSeq lists it as uncharacterized. The record is from RefSeq and is a predicted model, not a curated record. NCBI's taxonomy places the organism in Eukaryota, Viridiplantae, Streptophyta, Magnoliopsida, Lamiales, Lamiaceae. The transcript is spliced from 3 exons.